Molecule: ribosomal RNA, 246 nt
Filed under: uncultured bacterium
Lineage: Bacteria
Description: partial 16S ribosomal RNA
Rfam family: Bacterial small subunit ribosomal RNA
Source: RNAcentral
UACGUAGGGGGCAAGCGUUGUCCGGAAUCAUUGGGCGUAAAGAGCGUGUAGGCGGCUCGGUAAGUCCGCUGUGAAAGUCCAGGGCUCAACCCUGGAAUGCCGGUGGAAACUGUCGAGCUAGAAUCCGGAAGAGGCGAGUGGAAUUCCUGGUGUAGCGGUGAAAUGCGCAGAUAUCAGGAGGAACACCAAUGGCGAAGGCAGCUCGCUGGACGGUAUUGACGCUGAGACGCGAAAGCGUGGGAGCAA